Long non-coding RNA from Helianthus annuus (common sunflower), 911 nucleotides. RefSeq lists it as uncharacterized. The transcript has 2 exons. NCBI's taxonomy places the organism in Eukaryota, Viridiplantae, Streptophyta, Magnoliopsida, Asterales, Asteraceae. The record is from RefSeq and is a predicted model, not a curated record.
CAAUUUGAAUACAUAAAAGACAAUAAAAACUUUCCACUCUAUUAAUACACAUAACUUGAUCCUCUCCUUCUCAUCUCAAAUAAACCCACAAUAUACACACAAAUAAAAGAGCAGGCCCUUUAUCUCCUCUCACUCUCUCGAUUACAUUAAACAAGCACAGAGGAAUUCUCAUCUUCAUAAACCAAACCCAACCAGCCACACCCCCUUGAUUCCCCUUCUUUCUCUCUCGGUUCCGGUGACAGGAGCUAGUUGCCGGCUCCUCUUCUUCUCCGGCAAGCGAGCCAUACUCCACAACCACCAGCAACCCUACCCCCUCUCUGCAAUAAUUAGCUGACCACCUACAGUGGUGGCGGCGCGUGAUGGUGACGGCACGAUGGCCAGCGGCGGCGACAAAGCAGAGUGACGGCGGCGGCAGCGAUGGUCUCAGGAAGGCUCGAUGAUGUUGAUGUUGUCUCCGACGACGCGACGACGGACGGCGGAGCCGUCGGUUACUAGCCGACGGCGAGACAGCAACGGUGGUGUUAUUUUGGGCUUCGGUCCAGUGAUGGUUUAGCUUCAAGUUUGGUUUGAGUUGUUCUAGUGAAGGUUUGGGAGUCUCGGUCAGAUUUGUUUUGGAUGCGGGUUCAGUUUCGGUUCGGGUCCCGUUCGGGUUCAGUCAACAGAUGGGUUCAAGUCAGCUGGUCAGCUCGUUGUUUGGGUCAAGCGACUUGGUCAGACGGCCCGGUUUGGUUUACUCGGUCAAACCGAGUCAACUCGGUCAAACCCGGUUAACUCAGCCAACUUCCUUCGGCAUUUCGACACAUUUAGGACGGAUAUUAUUUUCAUUGAUUAUUCCUUAUUUCAUACGUAAAAACGAGCUCGAACCGAACAAAACGAUGAGUUAUUAGUUAAUUUUAGCUUGGUCUUAUUUA